AUGGGCAACCGCACCUCGCGCCACCGCCGCGCCGCCGCCGACCAGCCGGCCACGGCCCCUCCGCCGACGGCCCAGCCCAAACCCCAGCCGCCGCCGAAGCCCCAGACGGCGCCGGCCCCGGCCCCGACGCCGGAAGCGGGACAGGUGGCCAUGGGCCGCGUUCUGGGACGCCCGAUGGAGGACGUGCGCGCGACCUACACCUUCGGCCGCGAGCUCGGCAGGGGGCAGUUCGGGGUCACCUACCUCGUCACGCACAAGGCUACGGGCCAGCGCUUCGCCUGCAAGUCCAUCGCCACGCGGAAGCUCGUCCACCGCGAUGACAUCGAGGAUGUGCAGCGGGAGGUGCAGAUCAUGCACCACCUCACGGGUCACCGCAACAUCGUCGAGCUCCGCGGCGCCUACGAGGACCGCCACUCGGUCAACCUCAUCAUGGAGCUAUGUGAGGGCGGGGAGCUAUUCGACCGCAUCAUCGCGCGGGGGCACUACUCCGAGCGAGCCGCCGCCCUGCUCUGCCGCGAGAUGGUCUCCGUCGUGCACAGCUGCCACUCCAUGGGGGUUUUCCACCGGGAUCUCAAGCCCGAGAACUUUUUGUUUCUCAACAACAAGGAGGACUCGCCGCUCAAGGCCACUGACUUUGGCCUCUCCGUCUUCUUCAAACACGGGGAGCAGUUUAAGGAUCUCGUUGGAAGUGCGUAUUAUGUUGCUCCUGAGGUUCUGAAGCGGCACUAUGGAGCAGAAGCUGACAUAUGGAGUGCGGGGAUUAUUCUGUACAUCCUUCUGUCUGGUGUUCCUCCUUUUUGGGCAGACAAUGAGGAUGGCAUAUUUGAGGCUGUCUUGCUUGGUCACAUAGAUUUCUCAUCUGACCCUUGGCCUUCAAUAUCUAAUGGUGCAAAAGAUUUGGUGAAGAAGAUGUUGCGGCAAGACCCCAAAGAGCGCUUGACUGCUGCAGAAAUUUUGAAUCACCCAUGGAUUAGGGAAGAUGGAGAGGCUCCAGAUAAGCCACUUGACAUUACUGUUAUCAGUAGAAUGAAGCAAUUCCGGGCGAUGAACAAGCUUAAGAAAGUUGCAUUGAAGAUCGUUGCAGAGAACUUGUCUGAGGAAGAGAUAACAGGCUUGAAAGAAAUGUUCAGAUCCCUGGACACUGAUAACAGUGGGACAAUUACUCUUGAAGAGCUAAGAUCUGGUUUACCAAAACUUGGCACCAAAAUUUCUGAAUCAGAAAUUACACAGUUAAUGGAGGCGGCUGAUGUUGAUGGAAAUGGGACCAUUGAUUAUUCUGAGUUCGUAUCAGCGACAAUGCACAUGAAUAGAUUGGAGAAGGAAGACCACAUACUUAAAGCAUUUGAAUAUUUUGAUAAGGACCACAGCGGAUACAUAACAGUAGAUGAGCUGGAAGAAGCUCUGAAGAAGUAUGACAUGGGGGAUGAUAAAACAAUUAAAGAUAUUAUCGCUGAAGUAGAUACAGAUCAUGAUGGAAGAAUCAACUACCAGGAGUUCGUUGCCAUGAUGAGAAACAACAGCCCUGAGAUUGUUCCAAAUCGGCGGCGCAUGUUCUAA
This 1557-nucleotide ribosomal RNA is filed under the name Triticum aestivum (bread wheat). Its description in RNAcentral is "partial small subunit ribosomal RNA". Lineage: Eukaryota; Viridiplantae; Streptophyta; Magnoliopsida; Poales; Poaceae. The record is from RNAcentral.